AAAAAACCCCAGCCACCCCGAAUCAGUCUCAGCCCACUCCCGUGCGUGCUGCUGGAUAGGGUUCGCCGCCAACCUCACCGGUCGCUGCUACCGUCGGUUUCCCCUACAUGGCCGGAGGAUAGGCCAUCCCGCCGGUCCAUUCCCGCCCCACCCCCAUUCCUUUCUUGCUCCCUCCCUCCCCGCGCUCGCCCGUGGAAUCCCCUUUGACUCCCAGCCGCCCCCGCCGACGCCCGCCAGUAGCGCCUGCCGGCGGGCCGCCUCGCGUCGCCCGAUCUGUCGCCCGUCCCGCCUCCUCACCCAGGUCUCCUACCCAGGAGGAGGACUAGGAGGAGCAGGAGGAGGGGAGACCUGUUGGGCGCGCGCAGGAGGCUCCCCGCCGAUCGCCACCCGCCACCCCAAGGAUCAAGGCCGGCUGCGCCGGUCCCCGUCGGUCGCUGCUCCGGAUCCAGGCCGCCCACCGCCCUACCCCCGUCAGCCCGGUCUAUUUCCCACUGGAUCCCAUCUUCGCCGCCGUCCGACGCGCCUUCUUCAAGGAGCUGCGACCCCAUGUCUCAGAGGAGCUAGCCCCGGCGCCAUUGAUGCCCGAGCGACGCUCCCAAGCUAGGAGCGGCACCAGGACGACCACGCCCCCGAAGCCUAAACUGCAAGUUUAUUUUCAGAGUACUUGUUGCGUGCAAAAUCCUACCCUGGCGCAGGUUGUUGGUUGUUUAAUUCUGGAAUCACAAGUUAAUGCAUUUUGCUAUAUCCACCCACGCCCUCUCCAUUGCCACUCCAUCGGUCGCGUAGAGAAUAUCGAGAAACGCAGCCUAACGCCAGUGUCGAGCUGAUUCCGGGGAUGAUUCCACUCAAACGUAAUGAGCAUAUACGAACAGGUUUGCAGUACGUCCAUGCCUUUGGGGCAUCUGGAGCUUCACAUAAUUGCUAAUUAGUGGCUGGGAUUUUGACGUCGCCUCUUAUACAUAUAUGGAGUUGCACUGUGAUUAAAUUUAUAUUGCUUUAAUAAUGUUCAAGCUUGGAAAAUGAUGCUUAGUUCUAGACAAUGGAAAUAAGUUGUCAUUAUUUCGGAACUUAUCCGUGCACCGAGACUUGCUACUUUGAUUCCGUUGUUUGCUAGAGAGAAUAGCUAUGUAACCUGGCCGACCUCUCUAACCUCAUUUAUGAAUUUGGUUUCUCAGAGUUCAACUAUGUCUUUCAAAAAUCAAACUAAAACAUAUUCCAUUUAUUUAUCCCACUGUUUAUAGGCAAUCUGGUCAUACCUUUGUAGUUCUAUUUGGAAAAUAGUUAGAGAACAUUAGGUACCAACAAUAGCACUAUUUUUUGUCGGACGAGGACAUCGACAUGCAGCCUGCUACGGACUCCACCACCAAUCAUCCUCAUGUAGUGGCGUGAGGUGCCCAUGUGUCAAGAUGGUGGUGCAACGGCUGGCAACAACGUGUCUGAAUGCCAUGGGCAGAUGGGUGACAGUGAUAUACGUCCUACAUAGAUAUAUACAUUCUAAAUUAUACAUGUUAUCUCCCAAUGAAGAGAUGAGAAAAAUAUAAUUGUUUCGUUGCUAUGAGGGUCUGGUGUUCGACGACUUCCCCAUGCGUUCAUCCUAAUGAGACAUUGCAAAUGAUCUUUAAUUUGGUGCAACAUAACUCCCGACAAGCAUCGACGUCUGCCAUUAUCGCGAGCAAGACCCUGAUCCUCCUUCGUCGGCCACUACCGCGAGCAAGAACCUUGAUCCUUCACCUACGGGUUGACGAUUUGCUUCAGAUCACGGAAGCUUGGGUUGAUGGAGUGCUUGUCUUUAGUUUUUGUUUUGACUUUGUGAAACUUGCUACCUGUGAUGAAACUGUGUAAUAUUGAUGAAACUGUGUAAU
This is a long non-coding RNA of Triticum aestivum (bread wheat), 1862 nucleotides long. RefSeq lists it as uncharacterized. NCBI's taxonomy places the organism in Eukaryota, Viridiplantae, Streptophyta, Magnoliopsida, Poales, Poaceae. The record is from RefSeq and is a predicted model, not a curated record. The transcript has 7 exons.